RNAcentral lists this long non-coding RNA (1251 nucleotides) under Arabidopsis thaliana (thale cress). RNAcentral's name for it is "potential natural antisense gene, locus overlaps with AT2G24540 (AT2G24545)". The record is from RNAcentral. Lineage: Eukaryota; Viridiplantae; Streptophyta; Magnoliopsida; Brassicales; Brassicaceae.
GUUAGAUUUAGCCAGUGAAAAGGGUUUUAGUGAAAAGAGUUUACAAAUUCAAAACUAACAACAAUUACACAUCAAACAUAUAGCACAUGACAACUAGCAGGUGAAAACUGAAUAGAACUUUUAGGAGACGAAACCAUCCUCCACUCAACACUAAAAUCCCCAUUUUGCCCUUCACUCACUCUCCCUUCCGCUACGUUAAUCCCACUGGCCACCACAAACACACGAUCAUCAGCUCCCGUCACGGCGAAAGGACGCCGCAUCUUCUCCCCCUGUAGCUUCUCACCACUCACGUACCUCCACGUGUCAUCAUCUGAACAAUAAACCUUCAUCGGAAAAUCACCGUGCUCCGAGAUCACAAACAGCCUGUCGCGGAUCACGACGCUCACACCCGUCCACCCUUCUUUCAUCCCACCGCUCAUCUCUCGCCACGUGCCUUCGUCGGAGUCGUACACUUGUCCCAUCGGUGGAAACAUGAACGGCCACGCCCAUCCUUCUGUUACACACAUCUCUUUCCCGAUCACGGCUGAGUCAUACUUCGCCAACACCAUCGGCAACUUCUUCACAACCGUCCACGUGUCAUUAUCUGGAUCAUACGAUUCAACUUCCGUAGUUGCUUCUCCGUUUCCGCCCACACUCCCACCAACGGCCAUGAUUUUACCGUUAACAUUCCCGGAGACGAAGUACGUUCUCGGGCUCAUCAUCGGAGAUAUACACGACCAACGAUUCGUUAGAGCAGUGUAAACGACGGCGGAGCGGUUUACAUCUCCGCCGCCGAGUACAAAAAGCUUCCCCUGACGUGGCAUCGACGCGCAUGAGAGUGCGUGAGGAGACGAGAUUUUGGUGAAAGAGUUUGGCAUGGGAGGUAAAACAAACCAACGGCCAGAUGCAAGGUCAAGGGAUUGCCAUUGAAUCCUAGCCGUUGAUUUGUUGAAAGCGAAGACAAAUAGGUAAGGAGAAGAGAUAGAAAGAGAUUGCUUGGAGAAGAGGAAUCUAGGGUUUGUGAUGGUUUUGUUCCAUGAAGAUGAAACAGAGCGAUAUAGAGCAUGGUAUGGGUAAGGAAGACGAAGAAGACAAAGCUCAGCUAUAUCAUUUGGUAGACCUGAAAUCAAUGGCUGAGAUUUUGUUCUUGUUUCUUCUUCUGCUUGAUCAUUAAUGGUGUUUAUGUUUGACGUAGUUUCUUGUUCUGCCAUUGUUGUUGAUAUUCAUAAGAUGAAAUGGUUUUAGAUAUAAAAUGUUAAAGUUUGGGAAAAG